RNAcentral lists this ribosomal RNA (254 nucleotides) under uncultured bacterium. RNAcentral describes it as "partial 16S ribosomal RNA". It matches the Rfam family "Bacterial small subunit ribosomal RNA", at positions 524 to 777 of the family's 1533-position model. The record is from RNAcentral.
UACGGAGGGUGCAAGCGUUAUCCGGAUUUACUGGGUUUAAAGGGUGCGUAGGUGGGUCUGUAAGUCAGUGGUGAAAUCUCCGAGCUUAACUCGGAAACUGCCAUUGAUACUAUAGAUCUUGAAUUAUCUGGAGGUGAGCGGAAUAUGUCAUGUAGCGGUGAAAUGCUUAGAUAUGACAUAGAACACCAAUUGCGAAGGCAGCUCACUACGGAUUGAUUGACACUGAGGCACGAAAGCGUGGGGAUCAAACAGGA